UAUGGACGAAGCAGAAGUGAGAAUGUCGGCUUGAGUAACGAAAAUAUAGGUGAGAAUCCUAUACCCCGAAAACCCAAGGUUUCCUCCGGAAGGCUCGUCCGCGGAGGGUAAGUCAGGACCUAAGGCGAGGCUGAAAAGCGUAGUCGAUGGACAACGGGUUAAUAUUCCCGUACCAUUAUUUAUUGAUAACGAGGGACGGAGAAGGCUAAGCUGGCCGGAUAUUGGUUACCGGUUUAAACGUUCGAGAUGAUGAGAAACGGAGAAAACGUUUUGAGUUGAGGCGUGAGUACGAGAUGCUACGGCAUUGAAGCAGUGUAUGUCAGACUUCCAAGAAAAGCUCGCAAUGUCAUAAAUAAAUAAUGCCUGUACCAUAACCGACACAGGUGGGUAGGUAGAGUAUACUAAGGGGCGCGAGAUAACUCUCUCUAAGGAACUCGGCAAAAUGACUCCGUAACUUCGGGAGAAGGAGUGCCUUAUUUAUAAGGUUGCAAUAACAAGAUCCAAGCAACUGUUUACCAAAAACACAGGUCUCCGCUAAGUCGUAAGACGAUGUAUGGGGGCUGACGCCUGCCCAGUGCCAGAAGGUUAAAGAAGUUGGUUAGCAUUAGCGAAGCUGAUAACUGAAGCCCUGGUGAACGGCGGCCGUAACUAUAACGGUCCUAAGGUAGCGAAAUUCCUUGUCGGGUAAGUUCCGACCCGCACGAAAGGCGUAAUGAUUUGGAUACUGUCUCGGAGAGGGGCUCGGUGAAAUAGACUUGUCUGUGAAGAUGCGGACUACCUGCACCUGGACAGAAAGACCCUAUGAAGCUUUACUGUAACUUGAAAUUGAAAUUGGACUUUAUUUGCGCAGUAUAGGUGGGAGGCAUUGAGUUUAUUCUUGCGGGAAUUUAGGAGCCAUCAGUGAGAUACCACUCUGGUAAUGUUAGAUUUCUAACUUUGUAUCAUAAUCUGGUCAAAGAACAGUUUCAGGCGGGCAGUUUGACUGGGGCGGUCGCCUCCUAAACGGUAACGGAGGCGUACAAAGGUUUCCUCUGAACGUGUAGAAAUCGUAUCUAGAGUGUAAAGGCAUAAGGAAGCUUGACUGUGAGACCUACAAGUCGAGCAGGGACGAAAGUCGGUCUUAGUGAUCUGACGGUGCUGAGUGGAAAGGCCGUCACUCAACGGAUAAAAGUUACUCUAGGGAUAACAGGCUGAUCUCCCCCAAGAGUUCACAUCGACGGGGAGGUUUGGCACCUCGAUGUCGGCUCAUCGCAUCCUGGGGCGGUAGUACGUCCCAAGGGUUGGGCUGUUCGCCCAUGAAAGCGGUACGCGAGCUGGGUUCAGAACGUCGUGAGACAGUUCGGUCCAUAUCCGGUGUAGGCGUUAGAAUAUUGAGAGGAGCCUUCUUUAGUACGAGAGGACCGAGAAGGACAUACCUCUGGUGUACCAGUUAUCGUGCCAACGGUAAACGCUGGGUAGCUAUGUAUGGAGUGGAUAACCGCUGAAAGCAUCUAAGUGGGAAGCCCACCUCAAGAUAAGUAUUCUCAUCACGUAAGUGAGUAAGGUCACGGUAAGACUAACCGUUCGAUAGGCAUUAAGUGUAAAUGUAGUAAUAUAUGAGCUGAGAUGUCCUAACAGACCGAGGACUUGAAUUU
Molecule: ribosomal RNA, 1634 nt
Filed under: marine metagenome
Description: bacterial LSU rRNA
Rfam family: Bacterial large subunit ribosomal RNA
Source: RNAcentral